Molecule: ribosomal RNA, 450 nt
Filed under: uncultured bacterium
Lineage: Bacteria
Description: partial 16S ribosomal RNA
Rfam family: Bacterial small subunit ribosomal RNA
Source: RNAcentral
CCUACGGGUGGCUGCAGUAGGGAAUAUUGGUCAAUGGGUGAGAGCCUGAACCAGCCAUGCCGCGUGCAGGAAGACGGCCUUCUGGGUUGUAAACUGCUUUUAUCUGGGGAUAAAAAGGCCUUGCGAGGCACAUUGAAGGUACCAGAUGAAUAAGCACCGGCUAACUACGUGCCAGCAGCCGCGGUAAUACGUAGGGUGCAAGCGUUGACUGGAUUUAUUGGGUUCGAAGGGUGUCUAGGAAGGCUGUUAUGAAAUCCAACAGCUCAACUGUGGAUGUGCCAAUGAUACUGAUUGACUUGAGUACAGACGAGGUAGGCGGAAUUGACAGUGUAGCGGUGAAAUGCAUAGAUAUUGUCAAGAACACCGAUAGCGAAGGCAGCUUGCUAGCCUGUAACUGACGCUGAGGCACGAAAGUAUGGGGAUCAAACAGGAUUAGAUACCCCAGUAGUC